UACGUAGGGGGCAAGCGUUGUCCGGAUUUAUUGGGCGUAAAGAGCGUGUAGGCGGCUUGGUAGGUCCGCUGUGAAAACUCGAGGCUCAACCUCGAGAUGUCGGCGGAAACCACUUGGCUAGAGUCCGGAAGAGGAGAGUGGAAUUCCUGGUGUAGCGGUGAAAUGCGCAGAUAUCAGGAAGAACACCUAUGGCGAAGGCAGCUCUCUGGGACGGUACUGACACUGAGGCGCGAAAGCGUGGGGAGCGAACCGG
Molecule: ribosomal RNA, 253 nt
Filed under: uncultured bacterium
Lineage: Bacteria
Description: partial 16S ribosomal RNA
Rfam family: Bacterial small subunit ribosomal RNA
Source: RNAcentral